This 492-nucleotide ribosomal RNA is filed under the name uncultured bacterium. Its description in RNAcentral is "partial 16S ribosomal RNA". It matches the Rfam family "Bacterial small subunit ribosomal RNA", at positions 29 to 507 of the family's 1533-position model. The record is from RNAcentral.
AGUGAACGCUGGCGGUAGGCCUAACACAUGCAAGUCGAACGGCAGCACAGUAAGAGCUUGCUCUUACGGGUGGCGAGUGGCGGACGGGUGAGGAAUACAUCGGAAUCUACUUUUUCGUGGGGGAUAACGUAGGGAAACUUACGCUAAUACCGCAUACGACCUACGGGUGAAAGCAGGGGAUCUUCGGACCUUGCGCGAUUGAAUGAGCCGAUGUCGGAUUAGCUAGUUGGCGGGGUAAAGGCCCACCAAGGCGACGAUCCGUAGCUGGUCUGAGAGGAUGAUCAGCCACACUGGAACUGAGACACGGUCCAGACUCCUACGGGAGGCAGCAGUGGGGAAUAUUUGACAAUGGGCGCAAGCCUGAUCCAGCCAUACCGCGUGGGUGAAGAAGGCCUUCGGGUUGUAAAGCCCUUUUGUUGGGAAAGAAAAGCAGCAGGUUAAUACCCCGCUGUUCCGACGGUACCCAAAGAAUAAGCACCGGCUAACUUCGUG